Etheostoma cragini (Arkansas darter) is the source of this 140-nucleotide long non-coding RNA. RefSeq lists it as uncharacterized. Lineage: Eukaryota; Metazoa; Chordata; Actinopteri; Perciformes; Percidae. The transcript has 3 exons. The record is from RefSeq and is a predicted model, not a curated record.
UAAUUACUUCUUGUGGCCUCCGUAUUUCCAAGGAGUACAAAUAGCAAUGCAUAUUAAGACUAGACCAUUUCCUAGGCAGAUGUUGAUUUGGGACUAUUUUGGGUGGAAGCACAGCUGAAGCACUGCUACUCGGGCAGCCU